RNAcentral lists this ribosomal RNA (505 nucleotides) under uncultured bacterium. Its description in RNAcentral is "partial 16S ribosomal RNA". It matches the Rfam family "Bacterial small subunit ribosomal RNA", at positions 28 to 507 of the family's 1533-position model. The record is from RNAcentral.
GACGAACGCUGGCGGCGUGCCUAAUACAUGCAAGUGGGACGCAAGGAAACACACUGUGCUUGCACACCGUGUUUUCUUGAGUCGCGAACGGGUGAGUAACGCGUAGGUAACCUGCCUAUUAGCGGGGGAUAACUAUUGGAAACGAUAGCUAAUACCGCAUAAUAUUAAUUAUUGCAUGAUAAUUGAUUGAAAGAUGCAAGCGCAUCACUAGUAGAUGGACCUGCGUUGUAUUAGCUAGUUGGUAAGGUAAGAGCUUACCAAGGCGACGAUACAUAGCCGACCUGAGAGGGUGAUCGGCCACACUGGGACUGAGACACGGCCCAGACUCCUACGGGAGGCAGCAGUAGGGAAUCUUCGGCAAUGGACGAAAGUCUGACCGAGCAACGCCGCGUGAGUGAAGAAGGUUUUCGGAUCGUAAAGCUCUGUUGUAAGUCAAGAAAGUGUGUGAGAGUGGAAAGUUCACACAGUGACGGUAGCUUACCAGAAAGAGACGGCUAACUACGUG